CCUACGGGAGGCAGCAGUGGGGAAUAUUGGGCAAUGGGCGCAAGCCUGACCCAGCAACGCCGCGUGAAGGAAGAAGGCGUUCGGGUUGUAAACGUCUGGUAAGAGGGAAGAGCAGAAGACGGUACCUCUUGAAUAAGCCACGGCUAACGACGUGCCAGCAGCCGCGGUAAUACGUAGGUGGCAAGCGUUGUCCGGAUUUACUGGGUGUAAAGGGCGUGCAGCCGGGAAGACCAGUCAGAGGUGAAAUCCCGCGGCUCAACCGCGGAACUGCAUUUUAAACUGUUUUUCUUGAGUACCGGAGCGCUCAUCGGCAUUCCUUGUGUAGCGGUGCAAUGCGUAGAUAUCAGGAA
Molecule: ribosomal RNA, 350 nt
Filed under: uncultured bacterium
Lineage: Bacteria
Description: partial 16S ribosomal RNA
Rfam family: Bacterial small subunit ribosomal RNA
Source: RNAcentral